GUGCCUGUAGCUCAGGGGAUAGAGCAACUGCCUUCUAAGCAGUGGGCCGCAGGUUCAAUUCCUGCCAGGCACGCCA
Molecule: transfer RNA, 76 nt
Filed under: Bacillota bacterium
Lineage: Bacteria; Bacillati; Bacillota
Also listed under: 2 other names
Description: tRNA-Arg
Rfam family: tRNA
About the family: Transfer RNA (tRNA) molecules are approximately 80 nucleotides in length.
Source: RNAcentral